UGGAAUUAAUACUGCUUUCAGCAGUCGGAAAAGACGAGAUUCAGUUCGUGGAACGUGGAUGCCACAAGGUUCUUGAAUUUUCCCCUUGCCUCUUUUCAUUUUCAUUAAUACUCCUAUGCUAUUCUGAUUUCUGGUUAGAUUUUUUUUCCCUGAUGACUGGUUAAUUUGAAAAACAUUGAACUAGGUGAAAAAAGAAAGAAACUUGAAGAAGAGAAGGGUAUCAUCGUUCGCUUCGUCAUUGGUCAUAGGUGAGGUUUUAAUCUCAUUUAUGAUUUAAUUUUAAAUAAGUAGACGUGGUGUGCAUUUUGUGCUAUAAUAUCCAUGUGUUUGGUUGAUGUAUGAAGUUGUUGGCCCUUUAUGUUUACUGAUUUUUUCAGCCUUUUGUGCAGGUAAGUAUUCACAUUUGUUAUAUUUAUUGAUUAUUAUCACUGCAUUUUGUUAUUUCAUUUGUUUACUUGGGAUUAGUAUUGUGUGUGAAUCUUUAAAACCAAUUGCAUUAAUUGUCCAUGGAAAUUAAUCAGUAGUUCUAUAAACUUAAAUGUAGCCUUAUUUCUAAAUUUUAAGUUUUUCUUGAUGACUUGAUUAAUCAAUUGAAUUGAUGCUUCUGCUCUCUAAACAUGUGAUUCUAAUAACCGACAGCUAAUAGUCAACGACAGUGCUGCUAGAUUAUGGAUUUAAUACAACUUAAAAGCCUUUUAUUUUUUUGGUUCUAUAUCAUCUAGUGCGGCGUUAGGAGGCAUUUUGGACAGAGCAAUUGAAGCAGAGGAUAGAAAGCAUGGAGAUUUCUUAAGGCUGGACCAUGUUGAAGGAUACCUUGAAUUGUCUGCGAAAACAAAGAUAUAUUUUGCUACUGCUGUUGCUUUAUGGGAUGCAGAUUUCUAUGUCAAAGUUGAUGAUGAUGUCCAUGUAAAUAUAGGUAUAACAGUACUUGAUUUAUGAUAGUUUUCUUUUUGUUAUUGGGAUAUGUAAUUAGUGAAGAUGUAAAAUCUGUUAUUCUUUCCCUAGUUGAUAAACAAAAAUCAAUAGGGAAAGACUAUCUUUCAUGUAUAAUUCUAACUUGUGAAAAAUUUGUUCUCUUUUAAUUUAAAGCCUCUACCACAUGACACUUAACAUGAAUGACUUUUUGUGGUUUGCUAUCAGGAUGAAGAUAUAUUUUGUGAUGUUAAAUUUCUUAUGUAGCUGUUGUUCAUGCUUCUCUAAAAUGCUAAGUCUGUUUCCUUGCAACUUGAUAC
Molecule: unclassified non-coding RNA, 1232 nt
Filed under: Hevea brasiliensis (rubber tree)
Lineage: Eukaryota; Viridiplantae; Streptophyta; Magnoliopsida; Malpighiales; Euphorbiaceae
Source: RNAcentral